Parelaphostrongylus tenuis is the source of this 75-nucleotide non-coding RNA. The record is from the annotation of a GenBank genome assembly. Lineage: Eukaryota; Metazoa; Nematoda; Chromadorea; Rhabditida; Metastrongylidae.
GCGUCAGUGGUUCAAAGGGUUACAGUACGCGAUGCCGGAUAGGUCGACGUGUGGGUUCGAGUCUCGCCUGACGCA